UAUAUUUUUUUCGGCUAGGCUAAUAAUAUUGUGUAAUAACAUUUUCUUAAAUAUUUGAAAAAAGAAUUUUGAUACUGCCAAUUUUUAUUUCUCAAUUAGAUGGAAAAUAUAUUUGACGAUAUUGACUUGGAGGACUGUCCAACAAUGUCUUCAACUCCCGCAAAAGAGCAAUUACAUUUGAAGCGAAAAAAGUUUAACACAUCUGGUUGCUAGAAUGCAGAGGCAAGCAUUUCAAAACAACCUGUGGAAGGAAACGAGGUUAUUGACAUGUUAACCACUAUUUCUAAACAACUUGACGAUUUGACGACGAGGGUAUGCAAUUUGGAAAAUAAAAUCGAUAAGCAUGUGAAAGAAAAUAUUAUUCAUAAAAGUCGGUAUGCCGAAUGACUGGUGAAGAAGUCGACAACGUUCAAACCGAAAUCGCGUCCACCCUCCCAUUAAAUACGCUUGCUUCAGCUUUGGAAAUGGACGAAAAAUUAAAAUGCGACGAAUUUGCUGCUGCAACGAAACAAUUCGUUUUGCGACUAAAAGGUACUUCAGAUAGUGUACAUGAUGUGUUGCGUGGUCUGUACACUGAUGAACUUGUUUAUUUAUGUAACUGGGACGGUAGGGGUGGGGAGCAACCUCUCUCCAAAUUCCUGCUAGUUUCCAACAUUUUAUACGGUAAAUUCUGUUUUUUUUUUUUAAUUUAAUUUUACUUUAAAUGUUUUGUUUUAAUUUGUACUUAUCAUUAUGUUUUUUUUAGAUUCAUUUAUAACUUAUGGAAUGGCAACAUUCGAAAAACAAGUUCGAAAAGCCAUUGGAAUUAGCCACCAUAGACAAACAAAGAAUUUAUAGAAAGAGAAAAACUGAGGAGUGAAUCAUAAUUUAUUAUUUAACAAUAAGUUAUAUGUAUCUAUUAUAUUACUAAACAUAAUUUUUUUAAUACACUAAAUUUUAAAUUUAAAGCAAUGUGAAGUAUGAAUUGAAUUCAA
This is a long non-coding RNA of Zeugodacus cucurbitae (melon fly), 974 nucleotides long. RefSeq lists it as uncharacterized. The transcript is spliced from 5 exons. NCBI's taxonomy places the organism in Eukaryota, Metazoa, Arthropoda, Insecta, Diptera, Tephritidae. The record is from RefSeq and is a predicted model, not a curated record.